Molecule: ribosomal RNA, 460 nt
Filed under: uncultured bacterium
Lineage: Bacteria
Description: partial 16S ribosomal RNA
Rfam family: Bacterial small subunit ribosomal RNA
Source: RNAcentral
CCUACGGGCGGCAGCAGUGAGGAAUAUUGGUCAAUGGGCGAGAGCCUGAACCAGCCAAGUAGCGUGAAGGAUGACUGCCCUACGGGUUGUAAACUUCUUUUAUAAAGGAAUAAAGUGCGGCACGUGUGCCUUUUUGUAUGUACUUUAUGAAUAAGGAUCGGCUAACUCCGUGCCAGCAGCCGCGGUAAUACGGAGGAUCCGAGCGUUAUCCGGAUUUAUUGGGGUUAAAGGGAGCGUAGAUGGGUUGGUAAGUCAGUUGUGAAAGUUUGCGGCUCAACCAUAAAAUUGCAAUUGAUACUGGCAGUCUUGAGUAUAGUUGAGGUAGGCGGAAUUCGUGGUGUAGCGGUGAAAUUCUUAGAGAUCACGAAGAACUCCGAUUGCGAAGGCAGCUUACUAAACUGCCACUGACAUUGAUGCUCGAAAGUGUGGGUAGCAAACAGGAUUAGAUACCCUAGUAGUC